Molecule: ribosomal RNA, 498 nt
Filed under: uncultured bacterium
Lineage: Bacteria
Description: partial 16S ribosomal RNA
Rfam family: Bacterial small subunit ribosomal RNA
Source: RNAcentral
AUUGAACGCUGGCGGCAUGCCUUACACAUGCAAGUCGAACGGUAACAGGUCUUCGGAUGCUGACGAGUGGCGAACGGGUGAGUAAUACAUCGGAACGUGCCUAGUAGUGGGGGAUAACUACUCGAAAGAGUGGCUAAUACCGCAUGAGAUCUACGGAUGAAAGCAGGGGAUCGCAAGACCUUGUGCUACUAGAGCGGCCGAUGGCAGAUUAGGUAGUUGGUGGGAUAAAAGCUUACCAAGCCGACGAUCUGUAGCUGGUCUGAGAGGACGAUCAGCCAAACGGGGCCUGAGAAACGGCCCAGACUCCUACGGGAGGCAGCAGUGGGGAAGUUUGGACAAUGGGCGCAAGCCUGAUCCAGCAAUGCCGCGUGCAGGAUGAAGGCCUUCGGGUUGUAAACUGCUUUUGUACGGAACGAAAAGCCCCGGGUUAAUACCCUGGGGUCAUGACGGUACCGUAAGAAUAAGCACCGGCUAACUACGUGCCAGCCGCCGCCGUAA